This 1552-nucleotide ribosomal RNA is filed under the name Vibrio parahaemolyticus. RNAcentral describes it as "bacterial SSU rRNA". It matches the Rfam family "Bacterial small subunit ribosomal RNA". Lineage: Bacteria; Pseudomonadati; Pseudomonadota; Gammaproteobacteria; Vibrionales; Vibrionaceae. The record is from RNAcentral.
AAAUUGAAGAGUUUGAUCAUGGCUCAGAUUGAACGCUGGCGGCAGGCCUAACACAUGCAAGUCGAGCGGAAACGAGUUAUCUGAACCUUCGGGGAACGUUAACGGCGUCGAGCGGCGGACGGGUGAGUAAUGCCUAGGAAAUUGCCCUGAUGUGGGGGAUAACCAUUGGAAACGAUGGCUAAUACCGCAUGAUGCCUACGGGCCAAAGAGGGGGACCUUCGGGCCUCUCGCGUCAGGAUAUGCCUAGGUGGGAUUAGCUAGUUGGUGAGGUAAGGGCUCACCAAGGCGACGAUCCCUAGCUGGUCUGAGAGGAUGAUCAGCCACACUGGAACUGAGACACGGUCCAGACUCCUACGGGAGGCAGCAGUGGGGAAUAUUGCACAAUGGGCGCAAGCCUGAUGCAGCCAUGCCGCGUGUGUGAAGAAGGCCUUCGGGUUGUAAAGCACUUUCAGUCGUGAGGAAGGUAGUGUAGUUAAUAGCUGCAUUAUUUGACGUUAGCGACAGAAGAAGCACCGGCUAACUCCGUGCCAGCAGCCGCGGUAAUACGGAGGGUGCGAGCGUUAAUCGGAAUUACUGGGCGUAAAGCGCAUGCAGGUGGUUUGUUAAGUCAGAUGUGAAAGCCCGGGGCUCAACCUCGGAAUAGCAUUUGAAACUGGCAGACUAGAGUACUGUAGAGGGGGUAGAAUUUCAGGUGUAGCGGUGAAAUGCGUAGAGAUCUGAAGGAAUACCGGUGGCGAAGGCGGCCCCCUGGACAGAUACUGACACUCAGAUGCGAAAGCGUGGGGAGCAAACAGGAUUAGAUACCCUGGUAGUCCACGCCGUAAACGAUGUCUACUUGGAGGUUGUGGCCUUGAGCCGUGGCUUUCGGAGCUAACGCGUUAAGUAGACCGCCUGGGGAGUACGGUCGCAAGAUUAAAACUCAAAUGAAUUGACGGGGGCCCGCACAAGCGGUGGAGCAUGUGGUUUAAUUCGAUGCAACGCGAAGAACCUUACCUACUCUUGACAUCCAGAGAAUUUUCCAGAGAUGGAUUAGUGCCUUCGGGAACUCUGAGACAGGUGCUGCAUGGCUGUCGUCAGCUCGUGUUGUGAAAUGUUGGGUUAAGUCCCGCAACGAGCGCAACCCUUAUCCUUGUUUGCCAGCGAGUAAUGUCGGGAACUCCAGGGAGACUGCCGGUGAUAAACCGGAGGAAGGUGGGGACGACGUCAAGUCAUCAUGGCCCUUACGAGUAGGGCUACACACGUGCUACAAUGGCGCAUACAGAGGGCGGCCAACUUGCGAAAGUGAGCGAAUCCCAAAAAGUGCGUCGUAGUCCGGAUUGGAGUCUGCAACUCGACUCCAUGAAGUCGGAAUCGCUAGUAAUCGUGGAUCAGAAUGCCACGGUGAAUACGUUCCCGGGCCUUGUACACACCGCCCGUCACACCAUGGGAGUGGGCUGCAAAAGAAGUAGGUAGUUUAACCUUCGGGGGGACGCUUACCACUUUGUGGUUCAUGACUGGGGUGAAGUCGUAACAAGGUAGCGCUAGGGGAACCUGGCGCUGGAUCACCUCCUUA